Pteropus alecto (black flying fox) is the source of this 625-nucleotide long non-coding RNA. RefSeq lists it as uncharacterized. The record is from RefSeq and is a predicted model, not a curated record. The transcript has 2 exons. NCBI's taxonomy places the organism in Eukaryota, Metazoa, Chordata, Mammalia, Chiroptera, Pteropodidae.
AUGGGAGACUCUAAUCGCAAGUAGACAUUGGGACGAGGGGAGGGCGGCUGGAUGAGAUGAACAGUCAAAAAAGCAGAGCGUCACUUAACCCGGGUAAUUCACUGUGCGAUAACCUUUAGGUUUUUGCUUGGCGCUCGAGCGCCUUGGGGAGCCUGAGAGGUGUGCCUGGUGAUCGUGACAGAAUAAGCCGCGUAACCUUUUAGUCGAUUCCUCGAAAUACUUUUUCUUUUUUUAAAAUGUUAGCUUUGAAUUUAGGUGACUUGACUACCCCCACCAAAUUUGGGCAAGAAUAUCUUUUUUGCUUUCAGCAUUUCUGCUUCCGCGGGCCCGUCUGGGGUCCCUUUUCAUGGGGAAACUUGACAAACUUUUUGUGAAAUAGAGGUCGAAAGUAAAGUGGCUGAAUGUGAAGGAUAACGGAAACACAACAGUUUUCAUCAGAACUGUGCUGUCUUUAAAUGUGCAUCGUCUGAAUUAAGAUGUGCUGUAAGUAUAAAAUACACACCAGAUUUCAAAGAUUUCAUAUAAAAUAAUGUAAAAUAUCUCAUCGAUCAUCGUAAGUUGGUUACAAAUUGAAAUGGUAACAUUUUGGAUAGACCGAGUUAAAUAAAAUGUAUUAUUAAAAUUA